Molecule: long non-coding RNA, 329 nt
Filed under: Actinidia chinensis (golden kiwifruit)
Lineage: Eukaryota; Viridiplantae; Streptophyta; Magnoliopsida; Ericales; Actinidiaceae
Description: long non-coding RNA (ACHI_LNC002444)
Source: RNAcentral
UUUCAAAACCACGACCUGGCCGGUCCUUUCAAAGUGGCGGAGAACGCUUUGCACAUAACCUCAUCCGAGCAACCCUGGAGUGACAUUAGGCUUUUGUACGAGUCCAGGUGGUCCAUCGGAUCUAUCUUUCCUUCAUAAAUGCCGAGCUGGGUAGGGAGCUUGAACUUCGAAGAGAUCCGAGCUCUCAAUACCCUUUCCGUGAACGGCGGAUCUGUCUGUCUAAUCAAAGUGUCCACAGUUACUGGAGCAUUUGUUCCAGUGUUAAUAGCGUCGAGCCGUGCGUUCAAAUCUCGAAUCUUCUGCGAGGUGGACUUGUUUCGUGCCUCGAU